This is a long non-coding RNA of Amphiprion ocellaris (clown anemonefish), 835 nucleotides long. The record is from Ensembl. NCBI's taxonomy places the organism in Eukaryota, Metazoa, Chordata, Actinopteri, Pomacentridae.
UGGAGUUUGGCUUACGUUGAGAGGAAAGUGGGCAGAGCCGCUGAAGGAUAUCAGCUCAGGCAGAGCAGAGGGGAGGACACACGCAGCAGAGGAGCAAGGCGUCGAGGACGGAGAGGAGAGAAGGCGCAACGAUGCGGCUCAAAGUCCCACCAAAACGACGAAAAUCGCCCAAAAACGCGACUCCGACUAUGGCAGACGACGGGGGAUAGACACGGCCUGGGAAAUGGGGAUUUUCCUCGAUGUUUUACGAACUACGUCAAGGAAGAAAGGAGGUUGUUUCACCUAAGCUAAAUGGGUUGACAUUUAGCCACCAUGAAAUGAAGAAUUCGUGUGAUCCACGCUUCAGUGGGGAUUUGUAAGUAUCAAUUUACGACAGAUUGAAUGUCUUUAGCAGAAUACUUGUAUGCUAUGUAUUCAUUGAUCUCGUAAUUUAUGUUCAAUCGUGUUGUCUGUUUUUACUGACUGUACAAGUUUAACUGAAUAAAUGGCAUAGGAAAUAGUGCGUUUUUUGCUUUCACAUUAUCAUAUAAUGUCAUUACGAGGAAAUAGUGAUAUGUGUCAUUACACAACUGUAGGGAGGACUUUUCUGCCCCCUAGUGUACAAUGACGCACAGAUGUACACAUAAAUUAUAAAUGUAUGGCUGAUCUGAUACCUGGCCCCGGGGGAUACGUUGCAUCAUUAAUUUGAAGUUAUUUUCAUUCAACUAAAGUACACUGAAGCGCUAUGUAAAUUGGAGUCAUUGUUUUGUAUUGUAAAUGCCUUAACUCUCAAGUGAUCUUGACAUUUUAAAACACAAUUUGAUUAGCAAACAUGUUGUUGAAAUGUGAUUUAAAU